UAUACGACUCUCGGCAACGGAUAUCUCGGCUCUUGCAUCGAUGAAGAACGUAGCGAAAUGUGAUACUUGGUGUGAAUUGCAGAAUCCCGUGAACCAUCGAGUCUUUGAACGCAAGUUGCGCCCGAGGCCUUUCGGUUGAGGGCACGCCUGCCUGGGCGUCACGC
RNAcentral lists this ribosomal RNA (164 nucleotides) under Lilium martagon. RNAcentral describes it as "5.8S ribosomal RNA". It matches the Rfam family "5.8S ribosomal RNA". Rfam says of the family: 5.8S ribosomal RNA (5.8S rRNA) is a component of the large subunit of the eukaryotic ribosome. It is transcribed by RNA polymerase I as part of the 45S precursor that also contains 18S and 28S rRNA. The record is from RNAcentral. Lineage: Eukaryota; Viridiplantae; Streptophyta; Magnoliopsida; Liliales; Liliaceae.